Long non-coding RNA from Choloepus didactylus (southern two-toed sloth), 1307 nucleotides. RefSeq lists it as uncharacterized. The record is from RefSeq and is a predicted model, not a curated record. NCBI's taxonomy places the organism in Eukaryota, Metazoa, Chordata, Mammalia, Pilosa, Megalonychidae. The transcript is spliced from 5 exons.
AAUCUAACUGGGCUGGAGGGCGCUCCCAGAUGGUAGAAGAAAGAUGAUCUCUGCCACCAGGAAGGCCUGGAAGGCUCCCUAUGCAGGAUCCCAAGUUGAAUAGCUUCUCGGGAUGGUGAGCCAGCAGGAGCCCAGGCCUCUGCUCUCCAGUCCCCAGAACCUGUUGCUGCAAGGACCACCAAUUCCCAAGCCUUCUCUAAUCUCAAUUUGACCUCACAGCCCUUCAUUCAACAAGCAUCCACAGAGGACCUGCCCCGGGCCAGACAGAGAGAAAGCCACAGGGAGCAGCCAAGAAGCUGGACAUCAGUGGAUCCCGGAAGAGAAGGGAGAGACCAGGAGACACCACCAUGUGCCUUGCCAGACGACAAAUUAAGAACCAAGGAUCGCCGGCAGCCAGUCCCAGAACGCCGCAGUCUUUGGGGAGAAAGCAUUGCCUUGAUGAUGUCUGGAUUUGAGCUUUUUUCCGAACCUCAAAACCGGUCUCUCCAUGGGGUCUCUCCAGCGGGUCUCUGGAUUUCUUAAUGAUGGCUCAGGGAUUCCAAAAGGACAAAGCAGAAGCUGCCAGGCCUCCUUAAGGCUCUGAACUGGAGUUGGGUGCAGCAUCAUUUCUGCAGUGUUCUGUAGGAUAAAGCAAUUUCCAGGGCCAGCUCAGAGUCAAGGAGAAGGGAAAACACUAGAGCAUGAAUUCCAAGAGGGAUUCCACUAGUGCAGAGAACUAGCUCCUUUUAAGAACCAGGCACUUGAAUCAAUCAGAAUUUGGGGGAGAGAAGUAAAGAUGGAAAAUGUCUGCCUUUCUUCACAAAACGAGAGAUGAAAGCCUUGAUUAAUGCUUGCCCAGAUGCUGAGCCCGGCUGUGGUUGGAUUUUCCUUGGCCAAGCAAGUGGAAUGGGGCGACUUUGCUGUUUCCUGUUUGCCUCACCCCAGUCAGAUCCACAGGUGAGGCAGCCUCAGAGUCCUGGGACCUCCCCUGUCCCCCACCCCCUGGGGACUUCUCCUUGUCAUCCCUGUUGCUGGGAGAUGGCUCUUUCUUGGCACUGGCCAUGAGCCAGAGUCCAGGGGGAAAUAGGUUUGCUUCCUUUAGGGGAGGACGUUGGAAGAGACAUGUCGGGUUUUUAAGCCCAUCACCAUGACCCCACAGGUACUGGAUUGCACACAGGUGCCCAGGAAUCCUCUGUUAAAUGAAGGGAGCCAAACUAAGCUCUGGAACUAAGCCCUCACUGCUGGCCAAGCCAGUUCCUGUGGCCCCGGACUCAUGCAGUGUUUGUGGCAUGUUUAUUGUAUUUCGUUAUCUCCUUAUAAUUGUCCAC